This 5457-nucleotide unclassified non-coding RNA is filed under the name Anthonomus grandis grandis. RNAcentral describes it as "aTP-dependent helicase brm-like". The record is from RNAcentral. Lineage: Eukaryota; Metazoa; Arthropoda; Insecta; Coleoptera; Curculionidae.
AAUUUUAGCUAUGGCUUAAAAGUCAAAACAAAAAAUAAAAAAAAAAUAAUUAAAACAUGAAAAUUUGUGAGAGAGUGUCGUGGGUUUUUAAUUAGGAUUUUCGGUAUUCAGUUAAGGAAACCGGCUUGGAGUGUCCUGUAAAGUGAACUGAUAUUGGAAUACUACAUAACAGAAAACCCACACGGACACCUUGAAGAAAUUGAUCAAACAUCAACAAUGAGCAGCUCAUCCCCGCAAAACAGCCCGAUGCCGCCGCCCCAAGCGCCCAGUCCCAUGGGACCUCCGGCACAUACGAGUCCCGCUCCUUUACAUUCCCCGCACAGUCCCUACCAGCAACCACCACCCAUGGGCACACACAUGAACGUACCACCUCCGGGGCAUUCUAUGGGCCCCAGUUUACAUCAGCCCCAUUUGCCGCCGACCAGUCAGUCUAGCGGGCACGGACCACCCCCACAUAUGCAGCAUUUAUCUCAUCAGCAACACGGCGGAGGUCCUCCCGGUCACCAAGUGUCGUCCUCUUCGUCCCACGGGCAUCCUCCUCACCAUAUAACUCAACAGCAUUCGAUGCCGCCACAAAGUCAUGGACCGCCACCUGGAGCGCAUCAUGGUCCACCGCCGCAAGGGCACCACAUGGUGGGAGUAUCGCUCUCGCAAGGUCUCGGACCUCCGUCAUCUCCCGGACACCAUCCGAUGCACUCGCCACCGCCAGUGUCUCAAGCUCACAACUCUUUACCACCACCACCACCUCCUCACGGACCUCCUCCUCACCAUUCACCACAGAUGAGUCAUCACAUGGGACCGCCGCAGAGUCAUUCUGCGCAGGCUCAUUCGCAGUAUCCAGGAGGAGGACAUGGUCAACAUAGAGAGAGCUCUCCAUCCCCGGGGCCACCGCCUCACUCUCACCCCCAAGGUCCGCCCCAUCCUCAACCCUCCCAUUUGCCGCCCCAUCUGUCACCUCAAGGGCUGCCACAUCUGCCUCCGCUGUCACACGGUCAAAACCAGACGAUGCAAGGUCAAAGUCAUCCCAUGCAAGCGGGACAUCCGAUGCAAGGUCACCUCUCACCUCAAGGUCAAUCGGGGGGGCAUCAUCCCCCGUCGCCCCAACAACAACACCCGCCCAUGCCCCAUUUGUCGCCCCAGGGACAUCCGCCCUCACAAGGUCACGGUUCGGGUGUCAGUCAAGGAGGGCACGCACCACCUGGACAUCCUUCGCCAACUCAUCGAACAUCACCAGGACCACCGUCCCAAGGACCCCCACCACCAGGACAGGAGAAUCUCAGAGCGUUGCAGUCCGCAAUCGACUCCAUGGACGAGAAAGGGAUGCAAGAGGAUCCCAGAUAUUCCCAGUUGCUCGCUUUGCGUGCCAGGGCCAACGGUACUGCCGCCCUAUCCCAAAUGCAAAUGACUCAGUUGAGGAAUCAAAUAAUGGGGUAUAGGUUCUUAGCAAGGAACCAGCCGAUACCGCAACACCUGUUUAUGGCUUUACAAGGAAAACGACCGGACGGUACCCUUUUGCAAACCUCUACUCCGCCACCCCCCGCUCAGGAGGCUCCGAGAGAUCCGUACGAUGAACCUGCGGCGGUACCGAUAUCGUUGCCGCCCCCGGCCGCCUCCCAUUUUAUGAGGCCGCCCGCCGCCCCACUUCAGGGACAGUACCAGCAGUUGCCGCCGCCUCCUCCUCCUCAGGUAUCUCACGGACAGCAGGUUCGUCAGCCGUACAAGCCGCAACAAACGAGACCCGGCAGCAUCCAACAUUCCAAGCAGGCACGAAUCACCACCGUACCAAAACCUCUUGGUCUCGAUCCGAUAUUAUUGUUACAAGAACGGGAAAAUAGACUCGCGGCACGUAUAGCGACGCGGAUGCAUCAACUGACCAACCUGCCCACCGACAUGUCCGAGGAGUUACGGAUCCAGGCGCAAAUCGAGCUCAGAGCGCUCAGAUGUCUGAACUUUCAGAGGCAAUUGCGUUCCGAAAUUAUCGCUUCCACUAGACGGGAUACGACUCUGGAAACGGCUGUAAAUGUAAAGGCGUAUAAACGAACGAAGCGACAAGGUCUCAGGGAGGCCCGUGCGACCGAAAAGCUCGAAAAACAGCAAAAACUCGAAGCCGAACGGAAACGGCGUCAGAAACAUCAAGAGUUUCUGAAUUCGGUGCUGCAACACGGCAAAGACUUUAGGGAGUUUCAUCGGAACAGCAUGGGCAGAAUUGGAAAACUUAAUAAGGCGGUGCUUAAUUAUCAUGCCAACGCCGAACGGGAGCAGAAGAAGGAGCAGGAGAGGAUUGAAAAAGAACGGAUGCGACGACUUAUGGCCGAAGACGAGGAAGGAUACAGAAAACUUAUCGACCAGAAAAAAGACAAACGUCUGGCGUUCCUUCUCUCUCAAACCGACGAAUACAUCGCGAGCCUGACGGAAAUGGUGAAGCAACAUAAAAUCGAACAAAGAAAGAAGCAACACGAGGAAGAAAGGAGGAAGAAGAGAAAACGAAAGAGAUUGGCGGCCGAAGGAGUGCUGAAUCAAGAGGACGACGAGGACUCUGACAAGCCGAUCGCGGUCAUAGAAAUGGCCACUGGUAAAAGAUUGAGCGGUGACGAGGCGCCGCUAAUGAGUCAACUGCAGUCGUGGCUACAACAAAAUCCCGGCUGGGAGAUCGCCGAUACCGACGACGAGGACGACGACGACGACAACGACGACGACGAGAAUCGUAAGAACGCCGAACCGAAAACGGACGAGGAUAAAACCAAAGCGUUAAUCAAGAAAGCCAAAGUGGAGGACGACGAGUAUCAUAAGAAAAUCGGCGAGGAACAGAGUUAUUACGGAAUCGCUCAUACGGUGCAUGAAAUUGUUACCGAACAAGCCUCCAUUAUGAUCAAUGGAAAACUUAAGGAGUAUCAAGUUAAAGGCUUAGAGUGGCUGGUUUCACUGUACAACAAUAAUUUGAAUGGUAUUCUUGCCGACGAGAUGGGCCUCGGUAAAACCAUUCAAACCAUCGCUCUGAUCACGUAUCUGAUGGAAAAGAAGAAAGUGAAUGGGCCGUUCCUUAUAAUAGUACCUUUAUCUACUUUAUCGAACUGGGUGUUGGAAUUUGAAAAAUGGGCUCCCUCCGUAAUCGUGGUGUCCUACAAAGGCUCCCCGGCUGGCAGAAGGCAAAUCCAAAGCCAAAUGAGGUCCACCAAGUUCAACGUUUUACUGACCACCUACGAGUACGUUAUUAAGGAUAAAGGCGCACUCGCUAAGCUUCAAUGGAAAUACAUGAUAAUCGACGAAGGUCACCGAAUGAAAAACCACCACUGUAAACUCACCCAAGUUUUAAAUACCCAUUACAUGGCCCCUCACCGUUUACUCUUGACCGGUACCCCACUGCAAAACAAAUUGCCCGAGUUGUGGGCCCUAUUGAAUUUCCUUUUACCGUCGAUUUUCAAGAGUUGCUCCACCUUCGAACAGUGGUUUAAUGCACCGUUCGCUACCACUGGUGAAAAGGUGGAACUAAAUGAAGAAGAAACAAUUUUGAUCAUCCGACGUUUGCAUAAGGUGUUGAGGCCGUUUUUGUUAAGGAGGUUGAAGAAGGAGGUCGAGUCCCAGUUGCCAGACAAAGUGGAAUAUAUUAUAAAAUGUGACAUGUCCGGACUGCAGAGGGUACUUUAUAGGCAUAUGCAGAGCAAAGGCGUGUUAUUAACCGACGGUUCCGAGCGCGGUAACAAAGGCAAAGGCGGUGCCAAAGCGUUAAUGAACACGAUCGUUCAGCUACGAAAAUUGUGCAAUCACCCCUUCAUGUUCCAGCAUAUCGAAGAGAAAUGGUGCGAUCACGUCGGUAUAGCCGGCGGAGUUAUUUCUGGGCCGGACAUUUAUCGCGCCUCGGGCAAAUUCGAACUCCUAGAUAGAAUUUUACCUAAAUUGAAAGUUAGCAAUCAUCGGGUGUUGCUUUUUUGCCAAAUGACUCAACUGAUGACGAUAAUGGAGGAUUAUUUUUCUUAUAGGGGUUUCGGUUAUUUGAGGUUGGAUGGAGCGACGAAGGCGGAAGAUCGAGCCGAUUUAUUAAAGAAAUUUAAUACCGAUAGGAAGGAUUAUUUCAUUUUCUUGCUGUCGACUAGAGCGGGCGGAUUAGGGCUGAACUUGCAAAGCGCCGACACCGUCAUUAUUUUUGAUUCGGAUUGGAAUCCGCACCAAGACUUGCAAGCUCAAGACCGCGCUCACCGUAUCGGCCAACAAAACGAGGUCCGAGUCCUCCGUUUGAUGACCGUCAACUCGGUGGAAGAAAGAAUUUUAGCGGCCGCAAGGUACAAACUGAACAUGGACGAAAAAGUAAUUCAGGCGGGCAUGUUCGAUCAAAAAUCCACCGGAUCCGAACGGCAACAGUUUCUCCAGAGUAUUCUACAUCAGGACGGAGAUGACGAAGAGGAGGAAAACGAGGUACCGGACGACGAAACCGUCAAUCAGAUGGUCGCGCGGUCGGUGGACGAGUUCGAGAUGUUCCAAAAAGUGGACCUGGAACGGCGCAGGGAGGAAGCGAAACUGGGCGCAACCCGUAAGCCACGCCUGAUCGAGGAAAAGGAACUGCCCGAUUGGCUGGUCAAAGAGGACGACGAGGUAGUGGUUUAUAUAAAAAAUCGAUCACACGUGGAUCCGUGGAACUAUGAGGAUUCGGAUGCUAUUAUGGGUCGCGGCUCUAGGCAUAGAAAAGAGGUCGAUUAUACCGAUAGUUUAACUGAAAAAGAGUGGAUUAACGAACUUGACGAAUCCGACGAGGAAGACGAAGAAGACGACGAACCGAAAAAGAGAAAGCGAGGUAAAAGAAGAAAGCGAGGAGAAGACUCUGAUAGCGAUGCCGGACCCAGUCUCAAGAAAAAAACGAGAGGUAAAACCAACGAGGAAAACAAGCUUAAAAAGCAAAUGAAAAAAUUGAUGACAGUCGUUACAAAAUAUACAGACAGCGACGGAAGGCUCUUAAGCGAGCCCUUUGUAAAACUACCCCCGAGAAAAGACUACCCCGAUUACUACGAGGUGAUCAAAAAACCCAUGGAUAUUGCCAAAAUAAUAUCCAGGAUAGAUGAAGGAAAAUAUACGGAAAUGGCGGAUUUGGAGAGGGACUUUAUGUUAUUGUGCCAAAAUGCCCAGAUUUAUAAUGAGGAAGCUUCGUUGAUACACGAGGACAGUAUCGUGCUUCAGUCGGUCUUCACAAACGCCAAAGCGAGGAUAGAAACCGACGGGGAGGAGAAAGACGAUGAAAAGUCGCAAGAUUCGCUGGCGAAAAAGUCGGACGCCGAAAACGCCGUCAAAAUGAAGAUAAAAAUCGCCGGCAAAGGGAAAAAUAACAAGGGCUCGUCGGGCAAGAGGAAGAGAGGCAAGAAACACAUCUCGGACGACGAGGAAGACAAUGAUUAGCGAGGAGGAUAUUUCUUCACGAUUAACUCCUCACAAAUCAUUCCUAAUAAGGUGGUAAAAUUAAAGGUACUAUUC